GCGAGUAUCUAGUUAAGUGCGAGCAGCAGAGAAAAUACAAGUAGUUUGUGCGAUAUCGCGCGGCGGAAACUUCCGCAAACCCUCAGAGGGCCAGGGAAACACAAAAGCUGCGACUUAAGGCCCCAGAACAAACCGAACCCUCAACAAGUAAUGAAUUACGCGUCAGACUUUCCGCACUCCUUUCAAGAGGAGCGCUGCGCACAAUAAAGGAGCCAAAAAGGCAUGAGCAGCUGAAAGCAGUUGCCAAAAUGUUCUACCAACAUUGAGGAGGCUCCACAAUGAAUUAAUCUAAGGGAAACCGAAUUAUAAAGGGGCCAGUCAGAAGCAAACAAAACAUAAAACAUGAAAAA
Molecule: long non-coding RNA, 350 nt
Organism: Drosophila sechellia
Lineage: Eukaryota; Metazoa; Arthropoda; Insecta; Diptera; Drosophilidae
Exons: 2
Source: RefSeq, a predicted model, not a curated record